CCAACAACGGACACCACUUCACUCUCCGCAACAAGCUCCACGUGGCCCUGAACGACCUCUGACGCCACUACUCUCCGUAACAAACUCCAUGCGGCUUUGAGCGGUCCACUACCAGAUGGUUACAGACGUCACUGUCGGUCAGUUACACCCUCCGUCUAUAAAUAAAGACCUCCAGAUAUGUUCUUCUCUAAGCUGGUAACUCUAUCUCGAAAUUCUGCCAAAAUUUUUGCUCGAGCACUCUAUUUCUGUUGAAGCAGAGUAUUGACUUGAGCGUCGGA
Molecule: long non-coding RNA, 278 nt
Filed under: Elaeis guineensis (African oil palm)
Lineage: Eukaryota; Viridiplantae; Streptophyta; Magnoliopsida; Arecales; Arecaceae
Description: long non-coding RNA (EGUI_LNC080691)
Source: RNAcentral